Molecule: long non-coding RNA, 964 nt
Organism: Helianthus annuus (common sunflower)
Lineage: Eukaryota; Viridiplantae; Streptophyta; Magnoliopsida; Asterales; Asteraceae
Exons: 3
Source: RefSeq, a predicted model, not a curated record
UUUCCUUACCACCCCCAAAAAUCAUCUGUCCCAUGUCCCAAAUCACAAGCUAGGGUAAAAAUAAAGAGGAGGCAUAACGACUUUACAAGAAUAGAGUCGGUUUUCAACACUGAGAGGUCACGUAACUCCGUCACCGUUCCGUCCAUAGAGUUUUAAAUAUCGAUAGUUAGGUUUCUUGAAUCGCCAAAAUAAUUAAAGUUUUUGAUUUAGAAAGAGAAAUGAAGUAGUUGAUGAUGCCCAAACCCAUGAUGUCUUCUUCGUUUCCCUCCUACAAACGUCACCACCGAUCAUAUUCAAAAGGUUUUAUAUUCCCCUUUGAUAUUCAACUAACUUGUGGUUCGAAUUUGUUUUUGAUUUUGAAGUUUACAUGUUUAUUUUUUUUUCUGUUCCUGAUUAAAGCUUGUAAAUUCGAGAUUCUGAAUGUGGAUAAUUAGGGUUUUUAUUGCUUGCUGGUAGAUGAGAAGAAUAAUAUGGUUGAAGUGCAGAUUAAGUUCGAGUGGCUAUAUCUUUAAAGUUCACAUUAGCACUCGAGAAUCUUCAAAGGUGUUUCAUAUUCUGCGAAGGAUUUAAUAAAGCAAACUAUUUUGACGAUGUUAAGAGUUGCUUCCGCCGGAUUAGUUCUCCGUUAUGGUCAGAGUUUUGACACAUCCUCUCGAUUGAUUACUGUCCUCUUCGUUAAUCACCGGAUGGCCACGUGUAUGUUGUGCAGUUGAUUGUUAAGGUUUAUAAGGUAUUGGGUUGAAAAAUGGUAAACCAAACAAUCAAGAAGCAAUCAAGUGUUCUUGUGCAAUUGUAGAGGAGGCUAAAUGGAAAGAUGCCUUGAAAACUUAUUGCUGUUUGGGGAAACAGAAAAAGGUCACAAGUUAAAUGAAUAGAGACAUUUUCAUUUGUAUAUAUUUUGAAUCCAUUUGUAUUUGAAAUUAUUUAUCUAUGAUAUUAUAGAUACAUUUGGUUUCAUUUGUCU